UGAGGAAUAUUGGGCAAUGCCCGCAAGGGUGACCCAGCAACGCCGCGUGGAGGAUGAAUGUCGUAAGAUUGUAAACUCCUGUUAGAGGGGAAGAAUAGUACCGGUUGGACCGGUAUAUGACUGUACCCUCAGAGAAAGCCCCGGCUAACUACGUGCCAGCAGCCGCGGUAAUACGUAGGGGGCAAGCGUUGUCCGGAUUUACUGGGUGUAAAGGGCGCGCAGGCGGGAUAAAAAGUCAGUGGUGAAAUCCUACAGCUUAACUGUAGAACUGCCUUUGAUACUUUUAUUCUUGAGUUCGGGAGAGAGAGACGGAAUUCCAGGUGUAGUGGUGAAAUACGUAGAUAUCUAGAAGAACACCAGUUGCGAAGGCGGUCUCUUGGUCCGACACUGACGCUGAGGCGCGAAAGCGUGGGGAGCAAACA
Molecule: ribosomal RNA, 422 nt
Filed under: uncultured bacterium
Lineage: Bacteria
Description: bacterial SSU rRNA
Rfam family: Bacterial small subunit ribosomal RNA
Source: RNAcentral